Molecule: transfer RNA, 75 nt
Filed under: Mollicutes bacterium
Lineage: Bacteria; Bacillati; Mycoplasmatota; Mollicutes
Also listed under: 3 other names
Description: tRNA-Val
Rfam family: tRNA
About the family: Transfer RNA (tRNA) molecules are approximately 80 nucleotides in length. Their secondary structure includes four short double-helical elements and three loops (D, anti-codon, and T loops).
Source: RNAcentral
GGAUGCUUAGCUCAGCGGGAGAGCAUCGCCCUUACAAGGCGGGGGUCGUAGGUUCGAACCCUACAGCAUCCACCA